Molecule: ribosomal RNA, 502 nt
Filed under: uncultured bacterium
Lineage: Bacteria
Description: partial 16S ribosomal RNA
Rfam family: Bacterial small subunit ribosomal RNA
Source: RNAcentral
AUUGAACGCUGGCGGAAUGCUUUACACAUGCAAGUCGAACGGCAGCACGGGUGCUCGCACCUGGUGGCGAGUGGCGAACGGGUGAGUAAUACAUCGGAACGUACCCAGUCGUGGGGGAUAACGUAGCGAAAGUUACGCUAAUACCGCAUACGUCCUGAGGGAGAAAGCGGGGGACCGUAAGGCCUCGCGCGAUUGGAGCGGCCGAUGGCGGAUUAGCUAGUUGGUGGGGUAAAGGCCUACCAAGGCGACGAUCCGUAGCGGGGCUGAGAGGACGGCCCGCCACACUGGAACUGAGACACGGUCCAGACUCCUACGGGAGGCAGCAGUGGGGAAUUUUGGACAAUGGGCGAAAGCCUGAUCCAGCCAUUCCGCGUGAGUGAAGAAGGCCUUCGGGUUGUAAAGCUCUUUCGGCAGGGAAGAAACGGCUUGGGAUAAUACCCCGGGCUAAUGACGGUACCUGAAGAAGAAGCACCGGCUAACUACGUGCCAGCCGCCGCGGUAA